Long non-coding RNA from Myxocyprinus asiaticus (Chinese sucker), 11136 nucleotides. RefSeq lists it as uncharacterized. The transcript has 3 exons. NCBI's taxonomy places the organism in Eukaryota, Metazoa, Chordata, Actinopteri, Cypriniformes, Catostomidae. The record is from RefSeq and is a predicted model, not a curated record.
CCCAUGAUUUCAGAAAACUUAAAGGUAUAGGGUACAAUUUUUUCUGUCAAAAAAAAAAAAAAUUCUUAUUAUUGAAUAUGAGGGUAAAAUGCCCCUAGGGGAUUUAAAGUGAUAUCGUGUAGAUACCUGGGCAAUAGUAAUAGGGCACAAUUUGGCAACUAGCGCAAAUAAUGUUGAGACAGCCAUUUGUUUUUGUUUUUUUUUUUUUUUUUGUUUUUUCUUUUCUUUUUUUAGUAACAAAUUAAGAUGAUGAUUACUCAAAAUAACCACUUCAGAAAAAAAAAAAAUUCAACCAUUUUCUGUUAAUUUCAAUCACAUUUGGCAUUUUAUUACAUCUCAAGUAUUCUAUAAACAAACUAAUCUCUAUUAUGAUUGGAUGAGUCCAUUUGAGCCCAAUUUGAACAAGUUCAUAACAAAUAUAUUUGCCCCACUUAAGAAAACCAUGUGUUUUAUAGGGGCCUUUAGCCCCUGCAACAGGGGCUUUUUACCCCAAAUGCUGUCCUUUCACUUAUUGGACCAUUAUUGAAAAAUGUUUGGUUUAAUGACCUUAAACAAAACUGAAAAUGAUAAAUAGGUAUUUUUCUCAAAUUAGCUACAUAAAUUUGCAACAUUUUAAAGAAAAAGAUAAAAUUAGAUCAAAUUGCAAAGAUCUCAUGGAUCAGGAAAAUGUUUCAGUGUAUAGUAACAAACAGAUGUUUAGGAAAGUCCUGUGGUACUUUUUGUUGCUAUUUAGUGUUUUGGGAGAAAAUAAAAUCAAUGGAGCCUUUUACCCCACAGAGCCUUUAGCCCCAUUGUACCCUACAGUAGUUCACCCAAAAAUCUCAAUUCUGUCAGAAUGCACUCACCCUCAAGUCGUUUUAUAACCAAAGGACUUUCUUUCUUUCUUUGGUGAAACACAAAAGGAGAUAUUUUAAAGAAUGUAACGUUCCCUGAUUUCCAUAAAAUGACAGUUAAAAAAGCACCCACAAGUUUAAUAAGAAUAGUCCAUUCAACUUGUGCAUACAUAUUCCAAGUCUUCUGAAGGCAUACAAUAGGUUUUGGUGAGAAACAAAGUGAAAUGACAUGAGGGUGAGUAAAUGAUGACAGAUUUGUCAUUUUUGGAUUAACUAUCCCUUUAAAACAUAAGUUUAUUUGGUCUACAAUGUUAAAUUGUGAGGUUUCCAUAACACUGGCUGCAAUAGAAUAUGUAAUAAUGUGUGACAGAUUAUUUCUUUAAUUAGUAAUUAAGUUGUUUUAACUAACCAAGUCCCUUGUAUAUGUCCUUUAAUUAAUUGUAGAACGCAAUCAUAUAGAGAUUAGGUGAAAUUUAUUUGUCGUAUUCAGUGUAUAGACACAAGAAAAGCAAAAUACCAUUUAACUGCUGACUUUGUGUCUUCUUAGAAAAUGAUUUAAUACACCAGAAUUCUUCUUCUUUUUUUCUUUUUCUUUUUUAAAUUAGAUUGUAGGAGAUAAUUUAUAAAACGUACUGUGUAGUGUCAGGGGAGUAUAAUGGUGAAGAGAAGAUAUUGUGUAUUUUUGGAGCUGGGUCAGGAAAGGCCAUGUAGUAGUUUGUGAUGCAGUGUACAGUAUUGUUUCUGCAAUGGAUAUUGCAAUGCUGGUAGUUUAUACGAUUUGCUGGUAGCUAUUUAAAGUUUAAGUUGAAUGAGAAAGAACAAGAGUCUUUUUUACAUGAUGCCCAUUGUAAGAUUGUGGCGCAGAGGGUUCCUGAGCCCACCUUUUGUCACCCUGGCUGAAUUGGAGUGCUAAAGCAGAUUGGCAUUCCAUCUUUCCCAUGACCCAAACUUUUGCAGAAGUGCUAGCCUCAUUCAGCACGUGAUUUUCCUUGUGUUUAACAGGGCAGGCAAUGGUGCCAGGGGUCUGCCUUGGAGUUGAGGUUGAUUCCACAAUUACUGGGAAUGAACAGUGUUUGAGGGCCCUAUUACCCCUGAUUCAUCCUCGGUGAUGACAAAAUGUAAUUGAUGAGUGCUGAUGAACGAUAUUGGAAUAUUUUCAGGCAAGUUUCUUUUUUGAAACCGAAAUGGCAAACUCCUUUCAUUUAAAGGUGCACUCAAAUUUUCCUCAUUCAAAAAAAAGUAUACCCCUAAAUAAAUAUUUUAAUUGUAGUAAUUGUAAAAGUUAUUCUGCUUUUGAAAAAUAUGUUAAAAACUUCCAUGCGAUGAAGGCAUCUGUCAUAUCAGCAACAUAAAGCUUUCAUUUUACAUGGAGCUGAUUUUUGAGAUCAUAUGACCAGCUGAAUACUACUCAUUUUAUCUCAGUGACCCCCUAAUCAUCAGACUCUUUCAUUCAUUGAAUAAAAUAAUAAUAGCUAACUGCGAAAAAUGCAUUUCUACAAUGGCAUCAGCAACUGAAAACCUUUGCUUUUGCUGAUGCUGCAUCCACCUCGCUACUUGUCAGUAUAAGUCCAAAACGACGUAAACAAAAAAAUGCUCUGUGCACCUUUAAACAUGAAAAUAUAAAUGCCUCCCAACCUGAAGGUCUCAGGGCUCUCCAGUCAGCAGAAGCAUCUCUCCUGUUCAGACUUGCACGGCCCACCGCCUGUCCUGUGAAGAUUUGCACUGCUCCAUUUUCAUCUUUCUAAAGCUGUCAACCCUCUGGCCAGGGUGAGAUUGUGGGCUCAGUAGAACAGGGGUCUGAUCAUGGUUUCGCCAGCACAGUGGCUCUGUAGAGAGCUUUGUGAGCAUGCCGUCUUCUUCUUCGUUUGCUUUCAGUGUUGAAUAAAAUUGGCUACGCAAGACUGACUUCAAAACACUUCACAAGAGUGGGUCGUUACCCUUAACGUGUGCUUUUUAAAGUGGCCACAGGUGAUGAUUGAACUUGCUAUGACAUUGAUGAUGCAUUUAAGCUGAUGCAUGUAAAAAUAAACUGAUCUCAUUGUUUUAUUUCGAAACCCUUGACUAAUAUUUUUUAUUGAACAGAUUAUCAUGUUCAUGCGUGUUGUUGAAAUUUUGAACACAUUUAUUUUGUUUAUAAAUGCUUACCGUCUAUCCAGUAGAAUGAGGGGGGGGGAAAGGCUAAAUGUACAUAAAAAGGUUUUUUGUAUGAGAAAAUAUGUUUUUGUUUGUAUGUUUGAAUUUAGUAGUCAUAAGCUUGUGGCCAAGCCACAAAAAAUUGAAAGCUCCUUCUAAAGGAUCUGCUGUUGAAAGUAUAAUGUCAGCACCAUUACCACACACUUUUCACACAGUUAUCAGGUAUUAUUUUGCUCAGAAAAUACAGACUCCAGUAAAUUCAGCAUCACUUGUCAUCAUUUUAAGCAGAGCCAACAGCUUCAUUGAGCUUUGAUAAAUUUUAUGCAGAUUCCAUUGCUUCUUCUUAUGUUUUCUUUUUUUGGUAAUCUUUAAGAUUUAUUUUUAAGUUCUGCACUUAUUUUGUUUUCCUCUUUGGCAUGCAAACAUUAUAACCUUCAAACACACUUUUUUCUGUACUUCUACUUGGAAGAUUGCACUAGAUAAUCUGGUAUUGAAACUUUGUCUAAUAAUACUUCUUUUUUUAAAGAUUUGCUUCUCUGAGGAUAUUUCUCAGCCUUGAUCUAUCAUGAUGCAGAUAGACUAAUGAUAAGAAUGUAAGAAAGAGACAGAGAAAGAGAGAUCACAGCUGCUUGAAUGGCACCCUUUUAUUUGCCUUUUGUUGUGUCAUUUAUAUGAUAAAUAAAUUUAUACGAUACAGUUACCCAACUCCCUGCUGAAAAAUCCAUCGUAGCUGGUUUCUUGCCUGUUCAUUCUGGUUAUCAGCUGGUCCAAUUUCGUCAUCGGCUGGUCGACCUGCCUCCAUUUAUAGUAUGGAUGACCAGCUUGUUGCGUAUUUGUUGCUGGUCCAAGAUGGUCUUAAUUUUUUUUUUAAGUCUCUUGAGAUUAAAAUCUCUUUUCCGAGAGAGUCCUGGUCUACCAUCUUGGACCAGCUACCAUGUUUCAAACCAUAACUUCCAGUGCAAGUUGGAUUUUCCGGGAGGGAUACAAACCUUGGAGGUCAGUCAGAUUGGAUUAUUGAGGUUAAGGUAUGCACAGCCAGUUUAUUAAACCACUGUUGGACAAUCAGUGGCAUGACUGAUUUACCUCGUUUGAGCGAGUUUUAUGCAGCAGUGUGUAUGAACAAAUCUCACUCUUCUGAGUGCCUUCCUGGAUUCAAACUAUAGCUGAAUGUUGAGUUCAAAACGCAGUGCUUUGUUUGACCCAGCCACCUGCUGCAGAUGUGAGGUAGUAGACAGGUUGUGGGUUUACACAGUAUGUGACUUGUUGUGGUGUGAUAUACCACUGUUUUUGUAAGCUACUCAUACCUGUAUUUAGCAGAAUUUAUGGAAUGUGCUUACUUGUAUCACUGAAAAGAUUGUUUAAUUCCAAGGUCCAGAGACUUUAAUUAGUUUAUGACACAUGUAAUUUCACUGAACAGAAUGUUCAAAGGCAUAUAAUGCUUAUUUUCAUGGCUCAGUUUUCCUACUUUCCAUUAACCCACUGACAUAAAGAGGAUGUGAAGGAAUUAGACUUGCUUGAGUGUUUCACUGUACCGUUUUCUUUUCUUGUUAGUGCCAUUUAGACCUUGCAAUAUCAUGAACUUGGCACAUGCGAGGUAGAGAGAAAUGUAAACUUGUGCCCAGGUCUUUGCUGCUUCUCUUCUCAGUAAGGGCUGGACAACCUCUUCAGGGCUGAAGCACUAUAAUGCAAUUUCUGCAUAUUCCUUCCUUCCUUCCUUCCUUCCAUUUUCAUUGUUGUGACAUCAGUUGAUACAUGACAUGCUUGAUAUCAGAAGAAGCUGGAGAGUUUAAAAUGGAUUGCUCUGUUGGGUGAUGUGCAGUUAUGUCAGUCUGCACUGGUUUGGAACCCUGGAGAACAGCUCAAUCAAGCUUUUUUAGUCAAAAAUCAAACUAGUAGUGAGACACUAAGAGUAAUUUUUAAAUGAUCUGAAACUAUGGAACAUCAGCUAUGCAACUUAACCUAGCUUUAUUGAAAUCUUUGUGCAGAAAAUUUUCUGAAACUUUGAAAUUGACUUUAUGCAAAGCAGAGCUAAUAUUAAGGACCCUUUUAAUGUGUCCGAGGCCAUGCAAGCUAAGCUAAACCUACCAUUAUAGCACUCAAAAAUGUGAAAAAAAGAUUAGGCUAGCUUAGACUAGCUAGUUUAAAAAAACAAUUCUGAAGCCAUUGACUGGUUUGAGCUUGUCUUUGCCCAGUUGUGUUUUAGCUCCUGAAAGUUGGCAUGUGGCUUUACGGCCAUCAUAUGAGAGGGUUUCACAGACCUAUUUGUGUAUAUGUGAGGUCAUUGGUUAUACCGACAUUAACCCAUGCUUACUUGAAGUAUGUAAUUCAAACUGCUCAAACAUUGCUGAUGAUUGAGCUGUGGGGGUGAUCAAGGUUUUUUAAUCCAAACUUUAAUUACAUUUCAUUAUAGAUUGUAGGGUGACACACUGUAUAUAUUGACAACAGUUCUAUAGCAGAUUAAUAUUAAAAAUAUUAAAUAUGAAAAAAAACAUCCUUAAUUUUUUUUUUUUUAUUUCUAUUGAUUUUAGGCACCCUUAUUAUCUCUUAACAGUCCCAAUACUUUGAUAUAUUAAAAAAUACCAAAAUGGAUAAAAACACUUUUUUUUAUUUCACUGCUUUGGUUUCUGUUCUUCUGUUAGUUGUACCACUGAUGUCAUCUCUGCAGUGUUGGCCUGGAUUGGAUAGUUUGUGUUUAUCAAAUACUUAUCAAAGGAGUCAGAUUUGCCAAAGCAUAACACAACUUCUUAGUGCUGCAACAUAUUCACAAUGACAAAAGUUUUGGAAUAUUACAGUUUGACUGUAAGUCUGGCCCUAUGGGUAAAAAUAUGACUUUUAAAAGGGGUUGAACAAUACCUGUUAUUCAUUGUCUCUAUUCAAAUGGGAGAAAAGGCCAUUUCUGGGCUUUGUAGUUAUGCAUGUGUAUCAUGAAUGAAUUGCCAAAAACACCCUGACACACCGCCUACUCCAAUAGCCCAAUUUCAAGAAUUUUGAUACCCCAGUAUUGCAUCUACUGUAUGCUUCAAAUUCAUGGUGCCCUCUUACCAUUAGAACAAUUAGUUUGUUUCACUUGUUUUGUUUGUAAAUUUAAUUAAGAUUUAGUUUCUAUGACUUUUUCUAUUGUUGUUUGUUUUGAAAGCAUGCUGUUUUCUCUGUGUUUGGAGGCUGACUUUGAGGUGAAAGAACGAAGGUUGAAAUAUUUUUCAGAGAGCAUUCUAAUGCAGUGUUAAAUUUCAAGGUUUUUGUUGGUUUUUCCUUCCUCUUUUUUUAAUCACAUUAUUCUUUACAAAUAUUACCAUAGUAGUUACUCAUUAAGCGCUUGCUUGCUGCACAGAUAAACACACUUCACACCAGGAUGGGGCAUGUGGCCAUUUAGUUCAUACACACUCUAUAGAAUAACUCCCACAACUGGCACGAUAACAUGCAUCCAUGUUCUUUUGGAAAGCAUCAGAUUUUUGUUACUUGUCUGUGUUCCUCUAGAACCUCGCUAAAAGUCAGCAAAAGUCGGUAUUGUCAGUUUAGAAACAUAUGAGAAAAGACUUUCUGUUUUUAUCAUGCACAACAAACUAAAUUUGCCAUGUGUUUUUGAACUGGUGUGAGUGGUAAAUUACAGCUUUAACAAUAGUUCAUUAUAACAUUGUAUUCAGCCAUCGCUGUUCGCAAAAAAAAAAAAAAAAAAAAAAAAAACGCUCAUGAAUACAAUACUGGAAGUGAGUAUGUUUCCCUAUGCAAAAAAAGUAAAUACAAUUAAAAUGAAAUAAAAAAAAUAAACAAAGCUAUGCUACAACUCAGAAAUGAGGUGACUUUGUGUUUUUCUUCCAAUCAGUUUGAGAACUGCUUGAGAACUUGUAUGUUCCUGUAUGUAAUUGUUCUGUAUGUUGAUGGAUCUUGAUUAUCAGUCAUGUGUGUUUUGGAAGUGUAAUAAUGUUGCUGUGUAUAUGUUGGAUAUUUUAUGCACUGUUAUAUUUUAGGUCAUUCUUCACUGUGGCCCUGGGCGAAGACAGGCCUCACGCCUGAGGACAAGCUAAUUUUAGCUCAGUCGAAGCUCUCUCACCACCCCUCUUACAGAUCCUGAGGAGGGAAAAUUGUUCCAGGAUGUGGCAUGAUGUUCUAUUUAUUGCAAUGAUGCAUUAAAUGUCCAGUUUAAGAGUCCCAUGGCAGAAUACAUUUUGGGUAUUGCAAUACAUUGCGAUUGGUGCCAUCGCUAAUUAGUAAGUGUGUAGGUCGUUUUUCAACUAUUUUUGAAAAAAAAAACUUUGGAAAAAUUGCCUUAUUUCUCAGUGAAUAGUCUACAUGUCAAGUCUGCUUUUCUAAUUAGAUAUAUUUUUCAUGAUACAUCUUAGAUGAUCUUAGCUUUAAUUCUGCGAGAAGAAACUGCAAAGAACAGAAGAAAGGGAAUGAAAGAGUGAACUGUACACUUGCAGUUGGAGGUUUGUUUUCAGUUCACCUGACACCUGACUCUAAUCAUACUAAUCCAUUACCCCAGAUACAAGAUUGCUGGAGCCGCAUUUGGAAAAUUAUAAUUUCAGUUUUGGAAAGGAAAUCAAGUUUUAUUUCAUUUUAAUAGUUCAAAAUAACAUGAGCCAGCACAAGUUCUUUUUUUAUAUAAAAGAAUGUAAAGGGUUUUAUGUAAAGGGGGUGAAUGUGUAAAAUAGCUCUAGUUGAAAGCUUAGCGUGAACCUCACCAAAAGCCAUUCAUGAGCUCACUGCAAAAUGGAAUCAAAUUGCAUUAUAGACACUAACCAGAGGUACCUGUUGAAUUUCAGUGUACUUCAGUGUUUCCGUGAAACGAUAGCCUGCGGAUACCACUGUAAUCAUACUCUCGUAUGAUUCUGUUUCACAAAUUGUAUCUCCAUACUGCUUUUUUUGUGAGGUCUAUUACAAUAUAUGUAGUUUGGAAAUAAAUGUUAUAUAUUUACAGUAUGAAUAGCCUUUAUAGUGGAUUUUGUUUUGGAGACUUGUGAGUUUAUGUAUUGAGUUUUUAAAUCAACAGAGGCCAAAGAGUUGUUCAAUGUUCAAAUUUCACAUAAAUGGCUAAUAAUGCAUAAAAGAAAUCAGUUACGAUAGUAAUGAUGCGAGGAACUGUGAUCACAAGUUGAAGUUCAUCCACAGGGUCAAGGAUAGACACUUAACCAGGAAGUUGCUAAAUACCACAAAUGUAAAGCCUCAAAAGUGAUAAGAGACAUAAAUGAGUCCUCUGAUUCAAAAUCUGUAAUGUUCCUGUAUGUGGCCUUGGAAAGGUAUCCAAUUAUUUAUAGGGAUUCAAUUUGGCAGCAAGAUGGGGAGAGCAAAAGAGCCUUGAUGUGGUGCCUGGUGUGACUAUUUUUAAUGAAACUUUAGUCAUAAUAGCCCAGCUCCCAAAAGAAUGGGCAGGCUUCCCCCAGCUCAGCACCUCCACUCCAAAGAAAACAGCAAGGCCUCAGGAGUCGCGUGAAAUGCAGCUCACACACUGGAUGAAACGCAGCUUGCUUCAUGAAAAGUCUCCAAAGGAAAAUUUUAAUUACAGGCUGAGCUGAUGUUGGCCCACUGAUGGGGACAGUACUGCCAUGCGUAUCAACACAGAACCUCAAGCAUAAGUCGUUGUCACAGAAGUAAACAUAAGGUAUAUAAGUGUGGCCACUUCAUGUAAUAAUGCUACAAUCUGUCUCUUUAAUAAUGUGGGCAGGCCAAAAGAGUAUAUAUUUGUAAGCAGGCAAGGUUGGCGGCUACUCCUCUCUCUUCCUCCUUUGGGACCGAAGGGAUUUUGGUGUGUACACUGGAGGAGCUGAACACGCAGCGCCGGUGGUCCUGGCGGAUCUGAAGGGGGUGGCGGAGGAGAAGGUAGAAAGGAAGGGCAGUCUCUGAUCUAUGCAAAUAGAAGGUGGCGGUAAAUGCCCUUACAAGUUUGCAAACCACCGUUAAUGAGAAAAAGAAGAAGUUGGUGGCUACUCACUUCCUGUUUACAUCCUGAUGCCAGUGCUAGCAUCGUAGCAGCAGAGCGUGUGUGAGCUGUGUGCAUUAUGGUCUUGUCCCAUCAGAGUAGACGAGGAUGUUCGCCUCUCAAAUUGGGAUGAUGAAUACGAGCUAAAGGCUUAUCAAUCGCUGUUCUUUCUUUGCUUGUGUUUUUUUUUUUUUUAUGUUUUUUUAUUUAUUUUUUAUUUAUUUUUUUGUUUGAUUUUGUUUUUUGUAAAUUAUGGUGAUUAGUGGUCUGUUUGCUAGCCAGCUUGCCCAGGUAUGUCUGUGUCAUUAGAGUUAGAAGCUGGCUAGCAAAUAUUUAUUUUCUUUUUGUAUUGUUUUGUUUUCCUUCCCAAGUUCUGAAUUGGAAAUUGCCUGAUCUGUUGUGUAGCCCUCCCAUGGUGGAGUGGGACAGGGGGAUUUGUUGCUUGCAUGUGUUAUGUUAUGGGUUGGUUUAUUGUUUGUAUUGUUUUAUUUUGUUUUGCUGUGUAUUUUAUUUGUGGUUAUUUUUUGGUUUAAAUAUACAAAUAUUUUUAUUUUAAGGAUGCAUUUAUUAUUUCACGAGUGUUUCUCCCCUUUGCCUUAUAUUUUAGACGGGAUUACUGCAAGUUGAUUUACGCACAGAGUUAAAAUCCAUGUGUAAAGAGAUCAGAGUGAAGAAGACUUUUACAUGUGGUGUUGUUUUUAUUUAUCCAUGUUAUUUAAUGCUCUUUAAUAAAUGUAAAACACUGUGGCUCUUUUACAAUUAUUUGCCCUUUAUUAUGAUUAAUAUUUGAGAUGAAUUGUCAAUAAAAUUGUAAAUUGCCUUCAGUUUUUUUCUGCAGGAAGAUGCAGAGAACAUUUUUGAUGUUUUGAUUGAAUUGUACUCUUGCUCACAUUAAUUUGUUUCAUUACAAUGACAGUGUUUUGAUCGUAAACAAGGAGGGAGAGACAUUACAAGCGUUUUCUUUUUGAAUUGAUGACUCUGGAGAAGGUAAAAAAAAAAGCUAUCCAAAUGCUGUUCUUAAUCCUGAUGUUAUUUUGCGCAAUCAAUUUUGUGAGGGUGUAAAUGAUCAUAUGCUAUGUCGUGAAUUAAAGAAGACUCUACAUGUUGACAGCAUGUAGAGUCAACAUUUCUUGAUCUUCGGAAAGAAGCUGUCCAUUGUGGUGGAAGAAGGACAGCCCUCAAGAGAGAGACAGGUGCGCUAUUCAUCUCAACAGUAUGAAACUCAAAGUUGUGGUGAAUACAGAGGCAGUUGUAGCCAGGUAGUCAGAGUUUGAGGAACUUAAACAAUUGGUCUUGAAACAACAGGCUCAGCUAGACAUGCUUGUUAAAUCUCUGAGAGGAAGUUCAAGUAACUUAUCUAAUAGGACAAGGGUGUUAACACAAAGGAGUAGAUUUAGACAUACUGUCUAUGGGCAGUCUAUUUGUAUAUGUUGUGAUGAACUGGGGCAUAUUGCCCGUUACUGCAGGCAGACUAAUAAAACUGGGAAUUUAUAGUACAAUGGCUAGUACUUCUGCAAUAUCUACCGUCGAGCAGACUAGUUUGUCGGAAAACUAGGACCCCCCAGCCUGCAGAGCCACAGGCUGGAGGAGGGGGGUGAGGGCUCUAGUGUAAAUACAUCUGAGGUUCCCAAUCAUUUGAUUAGUUCAUGCCCAAUUGUUGAUGUGCAAAUGGGAGGUGUUAUAGUACCAUGUCUAAUAGAUACUGACAGUAUGGUGACUACGGUGAUGGAACAGUUUUUUAAAUUGCAUUUUCCGCAUUUACAAGAAAGUGGAGUACAGGAGUGUAGCUGGUUGGGUUUAAAGGUUGCAAAUAGACUUGAUAUUCACUAUGUAGGGUACACUGAGUUAUGCGUCAAUGUGUUUGGGACACAAGUUCCAAGAUGUGGCAUUUUGAUUGUAAAAGACCCUGUUAAUUCCAGUUUUCAGAAUAAAAAAAUGGUAGUACCAGGGAUUUUGGCGAUGAAUUUGAUAAAUUUAUUUUAUUAUGAGUUGUUUUUGAAGCAUGGGCUGUGUGUGCAGAUGGCAACACCGGCAUGGAAGCACGCCCUUCAGUUUUGUCAGCAGACAGAAGUGAUAGUUAACUCUUCAACUUAUGAGGUGAGGGUUCAGGGUAAGACAGCUGUGUGUGUUGCUGCCGGGACAUUGACACUGGUACCUGUGAAAUGUCCACAGGUUGCAUUGACCGUGGCACUGAAUUUUUGCUAGAACCCCCAGACCCAGAUGAAGGUUUUCUCCCAGAGAGCUUAUUAGUCU